GACGAACGCUGGCGGCGUGCUUAACACAUGCAAGUCGAACGGAAAGGCCCUGCUUUUGUGGGGUGCUCGAGUGGCGAACGGGUGAGUAACACGUGAGUAACCUGCCCUUGACUUUGGGAUAACUUCAGGAAACUGGGGCUAAUACCGGAUAGGAGCUCCUGCUGCAUGGUGGGGGUUGGAAAGUUUCGGCGGCUGGGGAUGGACUCGCGGCUUAUCAGCUUGUUGGUGGGGUAGUGGCUUACCUAGGCUUUGACGGGUAGCCGGCCUGAGAGGGUGACCGGCCACAUGGGGGCUGGGAGACGGCCCAGAGUCAUGCGGGGGGCAGCGGUGGGGAUUAUGGCACAGUGGCGGAAGCCUGAUGCAGCAACGCCGCGUGCGGGAUGACGGCCUUCGGGUUGUAAACCGCUUUCGCCUGUGACGAAGCGUGAGUGACGGUAAUGGGUAAAGAAGCACCGGCUGACUACGUG
Molecule: ribosomal RNA, 467 nt
Filed under: uncultured bacterium
Lineage: Bacteria
Description: partial 16S ribosomal RNA
Rfam family: Bacterial small subunit ribosomal RNA
Source: RNAcentral